GCGGUGAAAUGCGUAGAUAUCGGGAAGAACACCUAUGGCGAAGGCAGCUCUCUGGGACGGUACUGACGCUGAGACGCGAAAGCGUGGGGAGCGAACAGGAUUAGAUACCCUGGUAGUCCACGCCGUAAACGAUGGGUGCUAGGUGUGGGCGGUGUCGACUCCGUCCGUGCCGAAGCUAACGCAUUAAGCACCCCGCCUGGGGAGUACGGCCGCAAGGCUAAAACUCAAAGGAAUUGACGG
RNAcentral lists this ribosomal RNA (240 nucleotides) under uncultured bacterium. RNAcentral's name for it is "partial 16S ribosomal RNA". It matches the Rfam family "Bacterial small subunit ribosomal RNA", at positions 678 to 916 of the family's 1533-position model. The record is from RNAcentral.